CUCGUAAGUGCGAUUGAUUUAGCGGCCGCCGUUCGAUCUUGUGCAGCAGCCGCGAUAAUUCCAGCUCCAAUAGCGUAUAUUAAAGUUGUUGCGGUUAAAAAGCUCGCAGUUGAACCUUGAACCUGGCUGGCCGGUCCGCCUCACCGCGUGCACUGGUCCGGCCGGGCCUUUCCCUCUGUGGAACCCCAUACCCUUCACUGGGCGUGGCGGGGAAACAGGACAUUUACUUUGAAAAAAUUAGAGUGCUCCAGGCAGGCCUAUGCUCGAAUACAUUAGCAUGGAAUAAUAAAAUAGGACGCGCGGUUCUAUUUUGUUGGUUUAUAGGACUGCCGUAAUGAUUAAUAGGGACAGCCCGCGCGCAUCAGUAUUCAACUGUCAGAGGAGAAAUACUUGGAUCAGUUGAAGACUAACUACUGCGAAAGCAUUUGCCAAGGAUGUUUUUCUUUAUUCAUGAAGGGAGAGUUAGGAGAACAAAAAACAAUCGGAGGGUGUGGGGAGAUAUAACCACAAAGCGAUGCGGAGAGGGGAGGGGGAUUUUUUCUCUCUCCCCCCCCCAAAAUAUAAAAAUGUUGCUCUGUCUCGAAAAAAAAAAAAAAGAAAGAAUGGAAGGGGGUGUCUCCGGCGGCGCGGCGCGCGCGCUCUCUUUAUUUGGUUUAUAUAACGCAACACCCCCACCCACCCAAAAAAAUAGAGAGAGAGGCGCGUGUCGUAUUCUUUGUUUGUAGAGAAGACAGACACACAGAACUAAUGGGUGUCUGUGUGAUUAUUAU
Molecule: ribosomal RNA, 770 nt
Filed under: uncultured fungus
Lineage: Eukaryota; Fungi
Description: partial 18S ribosomal RNA
Rfam family: Eukaryotic small subunit ribosomal RNA (bases 1-577)
Source: RNAcentral